GAUGAACGCUGGCGGCGUGCCUAAUACAUGCAAGUCGAGCGAACAGACGAGGAGCUUGCUCCUCUGACGUUAGCGGCGGACGGGUGAGUAACACGUGGAUAACCUACCUAUAAGACUGGGAUAACUUCGGGAAACCGGAGCUAAUACCGGAUAAUAUAUUGAACCGCAUGGUUCAAUAGUGAAAGACGGUUUUGCUGUCACUUAUAGAUGGAUCCGCGCCGCAUUAGCUAGUUGGUAAGGUAACGGCUUACCAAGGCAACGAUGCGUAGCCGACCUGAGAGGGUGAUCGGCCACACUGGAACUGAGACACGGUCCAGACUCCUACGGGAGGCAGCAGUAGGGAAUCUUCCGCAAUGGGCGAAAGCCUGACGGAGCAACGCCGCGUGAGUGAUGAAGGUCUUCGGAUCGUAAAGCUCUGUUAUUAGGGAAGAACAACUGUGUAAGUAAAUAUGCACGUCUUGACGGUACCUAAUCAGAAAGCCACGGCUAACUACGUG
Molecule: ribosomal RNA, 497 nt
Filed under: uncultured bacterium
Lineage: Bacteria
Description: partial 16S ribosomal RNA
Rfam family: Bacterial small subunit ribosomal RNA
Source: RNAcentral